GUGACCUGCGGAAGGAUCAUUACUGAGCGAAAUGGGUGGCAAGGCUGUCGCUGGCUCAAACGAGCAUGUGCACGUCUUUUGCUGCUUGCUUCAUUCUCUUUUCCACCUGUGCACUCUUUGUAGACACUCGGGAUGGGAGAGAGGUUGGCAUUGAUGGUUGACCUCUCUUGAUAUUGAAAAGUCUGGGUGUUUAUGUAUUUUUUGACAUACACGGUUGAAUGUCUAUAGAAUGAAAUGUAGGCUUUUGUCAGCCUUUAAAUGAUAAAAUACAACUUUCAACAACGGAUCUCUUGGCUCUCGCAUCGAUGAAGAACGCAGCGAAAUGCGAUAAGUAAUGUGAAUUGCAGAAUUCAGUGAAUCAUCGAAUCUUUGAACGCAUCUUGCGCUCCUUGGUAUUCCGAGGAGCAUGCCUGUUUGAGUGUCAUUAAAUAUCUCAAAAAGUUUGUGCUUUUUUGGCAUAAGAUUUUUUGGACAUUGGGAGUUGCCGGCUGCUGAUAAAAGUGGUGGGCUCUUCUGAAAAGCAUUAGUUGAGGAGCUUUGCACUCUAUUGGUGUGAUAGACUAUCUAUGCCAGGAGAUGCUUCAUGAUCCUCUGCCAUCUAACUGUCUUUAUUAGACAACAUGAUAAACUUGACCUCAAAUCAGGUAGGACUACCCGCUGAACUUAAGCAUAUCAAUAAGCGGAGGAAAAGAAACUAACAAGGAUUCCCUUAGUAACUGCGAGUGAAGAGGGAAAAGCUCAAAUUUAAAAUCUGGCAGUGUUUCACUGUCCGAGUUGUAACCUAGAGAAGUGUAACCUGUGCUGGAC
Molecule: ribosomal RNA, 807 nt
Filed under: uncultured fungus
Lineage: Eukaryota; Fungi
Description: eukaryotic LSU rRNA
Rfam family: 5.8S ribosomal RNA (bases 271-424)
Source: RNAcentral